Trichonephila inaurata madagascariensis is the source of this 73-nucleotide non-coding RNA. The record is from the annotation of a GenBank genome assembly. NCBI's taxonomy places the organism in Eukaryota, Metazoa, Arthropoda, Arachnida, Araneae, Nephilidae.
GUACCUGUCGCGCAAUAGAUACCGCAUUGGACUUCUAAUCCAAAGAUUGUGGGUUCGAAUUCCGUCUGGGAUG